This 77-nucleotide transfer RNA is filed under the name Candidatus Portnoybacteria bacterium RIFCSPLOWO2_02_FULL_39_11. RNAcentral's name for it is "tRNA-Val". It matches the Rfam family "tRNA". From Rfam's summary of the family: Transfer RNA (tRNA) molecules are approximately 80 nucleotides in length. The record is from RNAcentral. Lineage: Bacteria; Candidatus Portnoyibacteriota.
GGGCUCGUAGCUCAGUUGGUUAGAGCGCAUGCUCGACACGCAUGAGGUCAACAGUUCAAGUCUGUUCGAGCCCACCA